GACAGAGGUGCCAAGCGUUAGGCGGAAUCACUGGGCUUAAAGCGCGUGUAGGCGGCCACGCACGUCCGUUGUGAAAUCGCCCGGCUCAACUGGGCGGGGUCAGCGGAUACGGUGUGGCUCGAGCAAGCUAGGGGGCAAUGGAAUUCCCGGUGUAGUGGUGGAAUGCGUAGAUAUCGGGAGGAACACCAGUGGCGAAGGCGGUUGCCUGGAGCUUUGCUGACGCUGAGGCGCGAAAGCGUGGGGAGCGAUCCGG
RNAcentral lists this ribosomal RNA (253 nucleotides) under uncultured bacterium. RNAcentral describes it as "partial 16S ribosomal RNA". It matches the Rfam family "Bacterial small subunit ribosomal RNA", at positions 524 to 776 of the family's 1533-position model. The record is from RNAcentral.